This 290-nucleotide unclassified non-coding RNA is filed under the name uncultured fungus. Its description in RNAcentral is "partial contains small subunit ribosomal RNA, internal transcribed spacer 1, and 5.8S ribosomal RNA". The stretch from base 1 to 73 matches the Rfam family "Eukaryotic small subunit ribosomal RNA", at positions 1759 to 1831 of the family's 1831-position model. Lineage: Eukaryota; Fungi. The record is from RNAcentral.
GCAAACUUGGUCAUUUAGAGGAAGUAAAAGUCGUAACAAGGUUUCCGUAGGUGAACCUGCGGAAGGAUCAUUAACGAAUUCCAAAAAGUAAAGAGGUUCUGUGCUGGCGCCGCAGGUGCACGGCCUCGAUACAACCCACACCUGUGCACAUGUCGACUGAAGCUCCAUGCGAGUGGGGUGGACGUCUUUCUUUCACACACGCUUUGUGUUCUUUGUGUAUGAAACGAAAUGUAUUAAUGACAACUUUCAACAACGGAUCUCUUGGCUCUCGCAUCGAUGAAGAACGCAGC